AUUGAACGCUGGCGGCAUGCCUUACACAUGCAAGUCGAACGGUAACGCGGGGGCAACCCUGGCGACGAGUGGCGAACGGGUGAGUAAUACAUCCGGAACGUACCCGAGUAGUGGGGGAAUAGCUCGGCGAAAGCCGGAUUAAUACCGCACACGACCUAUGGGUGAAAGCGGGGGAUCGCAAGACCUCGCGCUAUUGGAGCGGCCGAUGUCGGAUUAGCUAGUUGGUGAGGUAAAGGCNCACCAAGGCUACGAUCCGUAGCUGGUCUGAGAGGACGACCAGCCAC
Molecule: ribosomal RNA, 284 nt
Filed under: uncultured bacterium
Lineage: Bacteria
Description: partial 16S ribosomal RNA
Rfam family: Bacterial small subunit ribosomal RNA
Source: RNAcentral